AAUUAAUUAGCUUAAAUAAAGCAUUUGUUUUGAAAACUUAAGUAAAGAUAAAAAUCUUAUUAAUUU
RNAcentral lists this transfer RNA (66 nucleotides) under Brachycentrus maculatus. Its description in RNAcentral is "tRNA-Ser". The record is from RNAcentral. Lineage: Eukaryota; Metazoa; Arthropoda; Insecta; Trichoptera; Brachycentridae.